This is a non-coding RNA of Coturnix japonica (Japanese quail), 6652 nucleotides long. Lineage: Eukaryota; Metazoa; Chordata; Aves; Galliformes; Phasianidae. The record is from RefSeq and is a predicted model, not a curated record.
AUUGAUAUUUAUUUUUUUUAAAGAACUUAGUUAUGUCUCCAUUGGUAUCUAAAUUAUGUUCAAAUCUGUGGGUACCGUGGUAGGAAUGGCUGUUUUUUCUCCGUCUUGGAAGAGGUUAACAUCUCAAACUGAGCGUUUGUUUUAUUGCUUUGGAGCAGCAUUGACUUAGAGCAGUGAGUGCAUAGCAUGUCUGAGAGGCAGAUCUAGAGCCUGUGUGUUUGACGGCCAAGAAAGAGACGUGCUGUGACCUACCAGGGUGGUAUAGUGACUUCUGAGCAGCACAUGGAAACUGUGUGGUUGAGGUUCCAAUGCUCAUCUGUAAACUGAAUGCAUUUUUUUAUUGACGGUAUUAGUAUUGCAAUUUCCAUUGUUGCUUAACUUUUGGAAAUAAAGCAGAAGUUGAAGGAGUUGAUUCCUAAAGUAAGAACCAUGCUGUCUAGGUCAUGGUUGCAUGAACAGGUGAGCUGCCAGAGUGAGUUGGUGCUCCCUAUGCAUCUUUAUGUCUCUGUCAGGUUCCUGACAGUUUGGCAAACGAGUUAAAUACAGUGGCAGAGAGUGUUACAACUUUUUCUUCUGUGUUGCUUUCCUAUGCUGUGCUGGUAAGAUAAAUUGGCAUAUGGAUGUCAGCACCAGUGCUGGGGGAAAUGCACUAGAAGGAGAAAGGCUUAUGACAAAUUAAUGUGGAACUCCUUCCCCUCUCCUCCAAGGAUUAGCAUCCUGUGAAGCUGUACCCCUAGGGCUCUUUGAUGAAAGAGAAGCUGAUACAACCUGUAACCACGGGGCCAAUAUAAAGAUAGGAUCAAGAAUGCACAGCUGCAGCUGAAGAUGGUUGUGAGCAGCCUGGCAUUUUGAGAACCAGUGCUAAGCUUGUUGGUCCAGGGCUAAUCAGAACUGCAUGUAUUGGUUCUGGGCACUCUUUAUCUGCUCUUCACAAACUGGUUGCUCCUUCUGUGGUGGCACCAUCAUGGUGUUAGCUGAGGGAGGAAGAGAAGCUGCCUUUCCUAAGAUGCUGUGCAGCUCUGAUGUCAUAACUCUAGCAUUCAGAAAGAACAACAAGUGGAUAGGUCUUGCUUUUAAAUCCAUCUUAUAUUUCAGGAGGUUUACAGGAAUAGCAAUGGAAUGGUCUUUCUCCCAAGAUUAUCUUCCCAUUAGUUUACCCUUUUUUAUUGCAGGGCUGCAGAAUGUCAGUUCUGUGAAGUACAAUAGCAGAAUUCCUGUAGGAGUUUUAAAAUCUGAAGUAACCUGUAUUUCUCUUCCCAGGGAAGUGGCUGAGAACUUCUCACCACAACAAUGCUUGAGAAAUUCUCGCCUUGGUAAACAUAUUGGACAGUUGUAUCAGUCUAUACUUUAGCUAUUUCAAUUUAAAACAAGGCUUUCUCUAAGAAGGUCAAUGAAACUACUUUUCUUUUGAUACUGCAUCCUUGUGGAUGCCUGCAUAGUUCUUCUGUAAGAGAAGUUUUACUGGAUGAGUCAGUGCACUGAGUCAUAGGCAGCAUGAAGCCUGUAGUGCUCUAGACUAAUUGGUAACAGUUUCAAAUUUAAUUAAAGCACAGUUGUCAGCUCUGCGUUACUGAUUGACAUCCCAGUAAAGUAUUUUGUUUUCUGGCAACUCACAUUAAUUGUUCUCUGUUUGUGUGGUUUAGGAUCCUCUUAAUGUUGAAUAGUUCUGCCAUUACUGUUAUCAUCUCUGUGAUUCUUGAUUUCUGUACUUCUCUUGGAAUUUUUUUUUCUUGUUAGGUAACAUUUUCAGUAAUUAUGCGCUUUAACCUGCUUGUGACUUUACAGAUGUGUAGAGUCCUUUGGGGAUUUUUUUUCUUAGCAUUUCCAUGUUUUCUAACUUCAGCUCUUCCCAAAAUUCUGUAAGCGUGAUGCAAAAUUCAAAGAAAAGGAAAAAAUAAAAUAGUAAUUUUUGUUGACUUGCAGAUCAUGUGUGCAGUUGUGAUAGUUUGUACUUCUAACAUUUGUCUUGUACCUUGAUUUAACAUAACAGAUGAUUCUGGUUAUCCCAGCAUGUGCUGUCUUCUACAGAUGCUGAUGUGAUGGUGGUUUCCAGUGACUGGGGAUACUGGGACAGAUGGAGCCUUUCUCCCUUUUCUUCAGUUUCUUUGUAUGUGAUUCUUUACUUCCUCAAGGAGCAUAAGGGAAGAGCUGUGUUGGAAGAAAAGAGGUGAUGCCUCGAAGCUCUGUAUAUCUUUCAUUAAGGGAAGGUGUUCAGGGUGUUAGGUCAAACGUGGUCAGGAUGUGAUUGUAUUUUUAGUUUUUAUUUUAUUCUUAAUCACUUCCACUGGUUUUGUUUUUAUUUAUUAAAUCUAUUGGCGCUGUGCAUGAAUCCUGGUUUCCCCAGCUGUGAACUGAAGAAGGAAAACUUGAAUGACUUGUAAUGCUCUGUGCAACUGAGUUUCUUUUAAAGCCUUUGAGAUAAUGUUUCCAUUGGUAAUAAAUACUGAAGCUUGGAGGAUGGAGAAAUUAAUUUCUAGAGACCAAAUAAGGAAGUAGAUGUUUUGAGUACCUGUGUCUUUUUUUUUUUUUUUGUCUUGACCAAUUUCUCCUCCCUUACAUGCAUUUAGAUAUAAAGAUCUUUCUAAACCAGAAGACUAUCAGAAAUACACUGCAGAUUUACAUUCAGAAGUACACCUGACCAGAUUUGCAGUUGCUGCUGGUGCCCAACAACAGGUGCUAAUGGAAGUGUUACAAGCAAUUGCGUUAGGAAAUGAAUAAGCAUCCUGCACCUUUAAGUCCUUGAGGGGCAGAAAAUAAAAACUGUGGGUUCCAUUCAUGUUGGAUGCAUUUUUGACUGACAUAGUCUUUUUUUUAUCCACAUUGGAUCUCUUUGAAUUCAAUUUUAGCUCUCUCCCUUCAACAUGAUACCCACAGUUCCAAUAUUUGCAUGAAAAGCACUUUAUUUGUUCUAACUUGAUGCCUGAUAUCAUCAGGUUCUCUGAGCUCUUGUAUUCAGAGAUAAGUGAAUCAUACAGUCUGCUCCAGCUGUAUGAAAGCAAUGUUAAUAGUCCUCUGUUGAAUAGCUGAAGGCUUUGGAUGUUGUAUUGGACCAGAGAUGUGUGUCCUAAGGAGUCUAAGCACAGUUUUGUAUGAAGCAGCAGUGACUGAAGGUUUUCUGGUCUCUCCUAAAAUGAUACUCAGUAAUUUAGUGACUGUUGUAACCUGUUUUGUACAUUAACAGUGGUAGUAGCAUGUUCAGUGAUAAAGUUAUGUGACCUGAUGUCUAUAAGUGGUGGCUUCUUGGACAUACACAGUGUUGUUCACAUAGUGUUGGCUAUAUAGUUAACAGUGGUAUUAGUUUCCUAUUUCUGUUUUCUGCAAACAAUUUUUACAUACAAAUACCCAGGUUUUUGUUUUUAGUUUCUCAGACUUCAGGCCAAGUUAUUGCUGGUUAAAAUCUGUCUAUUUUAUACUGGUACACUGAAGAUGAAGAAAUAAGACUUAUAACUUGUUAAUGGGGUUUCUGCAUCUCAGUACAAAAGUCCAGAGCACCUCCCUACCAGUGACAUAGAUUUCAUUUUCUGUACAGAGAGGAAAUAAUUGAGAAUAUUUUCAUAUUCUGUUUAAUGUAUGUUUUUUUUAAUGUGCAGGACAAUGCUUCCUUCAUAAUGCAAACAAAUAACUAGUGGUGAUAGGUACUAUGUUUGAUUUCAUGCAGUAUUUAGUGAAAUAUUCGUGGAUUGUUUUCUGCAUUGAUGUUUUCCAUGUUACAGCCAAUGGUUUUGCUUUGCUAUGGUUAUCUUGUACCAAAAUUGUACAGAAGUUCUUUCAGUUUACAUAGUUCUUCUAAUCAGGUUUGGAAAACAUUGUCAAUACAUGGCAUCAGAAACAGUACUCCUGAGGUAUGUGUUAAUCUCUUGUCUGCUGGUACAGAAUAACUGGAGAAUUAAGAUGUAAUUUCAGCAAAUGUUAUGCAAGAUUUCUGACCUGACCAUAUUGAGUAAACACGAUUAAGUGCUCAGAGGAUGCUAGAGCUGGCAUUUAGAAAAUCUGAAAGAUAAAAUGUAACACCUACUAAGGCAUGGAACAAACAAGUAAGGUACCAAUUUUAGAAUAAUUUCAGAGGCUGUAGUAAUGUAACAGUUCAAUAAGGAGGAUUGGAAACAUGCUCUUAGCCCCGUGAUCUUUAUGGCUUUGUGAGAUCUCCUGACUGACUUUGAAAUGUCUUUGUUUUUCUCUCAGCAAGUCAGAUUGUUUGCUGUAGUUUGUAAUAGGUUAAUAAUAGGUUAAAAUAAAUAUAAAAGUGUGUGUAUAUAUGUAAGUAAAAUAAAUGUAUAUAAAGUAGAAGAGUGAAAUAACUCCUCUUAUAACAUGCUACUACAGGUAGGACUUGCCUCAUAAACAGAGUGUCUUGCCAUGAUUUGCAGUUAAGUAUGCUGCCUCUCUGUAGCUUUUGGUGAGAACUUGCAGUAAUAUCUGUUGAAAUGCAAUAGAAUUGGUUGAAAUGUUUAACUAAUUGCUUGCAACUUUAAUGUAAAAUACAGUUUAUUUUGCACUUGAUGUGCUUAUUUAUUCUUUUUGUAAUUAACAUCUGGAUUUUUUUUGAAAAUAAAAGCAAUAAUGCAAAGCCAGGUUUGCCUUGCUUAGUCAUGACAUUGCAUGCUGUGAUUUCUAGCAUUGCGUGCUAUCUUAAAAUACCUCCGUAAUACAAAUGAGAAUGCUGUUCGCAUUAAAAUGAAAGCGAUGAUUGUUCAGUACACAAAUUAUGUAUGCGUGUUUUUUUUUCAGUGACUGAUGUCAACUCUGCAAGCACUUUAAGCAUGUUUUAUGACAGUAGAUGUAUGUUGCCAGUUAAGUCUUUCAUUCGUAUUGGGCUAGCUGCAGAGGUGCAACAAGAGACUGAAAGUUCUUGGUGUUGACUGAAUGCUUUGAAGAAUGCAUUAGGUCCAUUCUGUAAUCAAUGGAUUGUAUGAAAACUAUAUUUAUUUAUAUUUGCUUGUUGUUGGUUGUUGUUGCUUCUUGCUAUUUUUGCCAGUGGUGAAUGGUAAGAUUUUUCUCAGGGUCUCUAUUGUAUUUUGAUUGCUGUAUUAAUGAAGUAAAGAGUAUUAAAGUAAAUAAUAAGUCACACUAGUCUCACUAGGAAUUUGAACUCAUAUUUGUGGUAGGAAAUUAAUCUGGUUUUAAUUGCCCACGAGUCUGAAGUAUGUUCCUUUUUGUAAAGCUGAUCUCACAUAAAGAUAAAUCAGUAACUGGCAGUUCUUUAAUUAUGUAUUACAGUAUUGUACCUGCAUACUAGAUGAGAAUGUGAGCAUCUCAAGUUACGGUGUAUUGGAGGUCAUUAAAUCUUCCCUGCUUUAUGAAGUUUAGUAGCACUACAUUUCUAAUUACUGAAAAAUGCAUGUUUGUGCAGCUGGUUUUAGAGUGGCUAUGUUUAGCUACAGAAAGACACUCGCUCACUUUGUAAGUAACUCCAUAGGGAUUUUGACAGCAUGGAGUACUAUUGUCAUAAAACAAUUGCCAAAAAGUUACAACAGUAUUUUUAGAAAACUGUCAUUGCAAAUAAUUUUGAGAUAUUCUAAUGUAAAAUCAGAAGGCAUACCAUAAUUACUGCAGGGUAGUUUUUUGUGUUUCAGAUAUACAUGACUGAAUUAUACAGUGAUCCAAAAAAUACUGUGUUAAUAUAAGGAAAAGAUAAUUUAUGUGAAUUGUAUUAUCAAUAGCAGCCUGUGUUCUUCCCUCACCACUUUACACCUACCUUUCUGUUGUGGUUUGACCUGGCAGGUAGCAAGUACCAUACAGUCAUUUGCUUGCUCCCGCUUAAGUAGUCAGAUGGGGUAGGAAUCAAAAAGAAAACAACUUGUGGGUACAGGUGAAACUAUUUACUAAUACAGAGGAGGAAAAGUAUAAUAGUUAUGAUGAUAUGUCAUAUAUAUAUAUAUAUACGACUGUAUACAAGUGAUGGGCAUGCAACUGCUUAUCACUCACUGUCUGAUGCCCAGCUAGCCCCCCAGCAAGUGGAUAACCAGAUGAACUCCUAUUUCCUUCAAAACUCUCGUUCUGUGUAUUAUCAUAUAGUAUGGGAUAUCCUUUUGACCAGUUGAAGUCCACUGUCCUAAUUCUGUUACCUUCCCAGUUCCUUGGCCCGUUUCCUGAAAAUUACUUCGAUUCUGUACAGCAUUGCUUAGCAACAACUGUAAACAUCUGUGUAUUAUCAGCAUUGAUUUUUGUCCUAGAAUAAAAACAUAGCAUCUUACCAAACACUCAAUGAAAAUAAUUCUAUUUCAGCUGAAACUAAGACGCUUAUCUCUUCUUCAAUGGGGGGAGGUGGGUGGCGUUAUUUAUGCUAAAAAUGCUGUGGAAUUUAUGUAUGGGGCCAAGGACUUUCAGAACCUAUCUUUCAUUUUCUUUAGGUUGUCAGUUGUUAGUCUUAGGUGUACAAAACCUUACUACUUUCCAAGCAGUGACUGCAGUGGUUGUUAGUGAAGAUUAAAAUGUGUUUAUGGAUUAGUGCCAUACUGCAAGUAUCACUAUGAUGUAGAGGAGGAUUUUGAGUUUCUUCCUGAAAGGCAUCACAAGUCAAGGUGGAUGUUAUCUGAGUUCUGGUGAUGUUUUAACUGCUUCCUGCCCAGUAUUUGUGACUUCUUCAAAUCCAAGUAAAUCUUCAUGUAACUCAGGCAGGUUGUGGUUGACAAACACAGUAAAAAAAAAAAAA